UUCAUGUGUGUGUGUGUGACAUGGAUUAUAGGUUUCUCCCUUCACAUUCUUCUUCAUUUCCCAGAUAUUCCCAUGUAAACAUGACUAAAUGGACCAUACAGAUGCAAUACAUACAUCAUAUGACUCUGCCUCUACGUAUACAGGGUUUUACAGGUACCAGAGAUGGACGACACUAAAGCCGCCUUUUAAGACUGUGCAACAACAACGAUUGUGUAUAUUUAUUGCAUGUCACACUAUGUAAGACGCCUAUAAUAAAAUCUAUGUCAGACUGCACAAUAUCAGUUCGAGGCUGUCAGAUUGUGCGAUGAAUGUGUGGUGAAUUAUAGAGCUACAACGUAAACAGAGAAAAGUUUAUGAGCACAGAAAUGUCAUCAGAUCGUCACCUAUCUGCAGGUAAGUCACGCAAACUUUAUUCUGUUUUGUUUUUUGUGUGCAUGUGUGAAUGUAUUAAGGAGAACAAAGGUGUUUAUUCAAAAAACUACUUUUACAAAAUGUCACUCUAGUCAGUGUUGUAUUCUGAUUGGUCGGUUUGUAGUCGUGGAUCAAAGGCAACACUCACAUUGUGAGGAAUUGAUCCUAAAUUUCAGACUCUGUCAGAGUUUUGCUGUUUCUGGUCACCAAAGCUUCAAAUCAGUCAUUGGUGGACGAGUCUCAAAGUGAGAUGUAGGACACCGUUUUGGAUUGACGACCAUAAAUGUCUCUCAAGGUUGUCAGACAGUCCAAAACCGCCCGGUAUAAAAGAGCCUUAAGAGGAAGUCUACAGGUUGACUGUCUGGAAAUACUAAGUUUCAAUAGGAAUAAUAAAUCAUGUAGCCAGGAUUUAAAGGAAGGUGGCUGUGAAGAUUUCCAAAGGAGAAGAAUUUUUCUACAUGCAAUCAAGGACGCAAAAGCUAUCACAUUGUUCUGCAAAGAUGGAGUAACAGGCUGUCAGAGAGAUUCACCUUGGUGGUCGGUAAUAAGCAUCCCGCCUGAAAAGAUUCCCACUUCUUCUCGGAGAAGUAUUCAUGUGCUGUUUGAGCUACAUGAAAGAAAUCUGCGGGGAUAUAUGUGAGAAGAAGAAAAAGAAGAGAGAGAUAGCUUUGAAUGACUGGAGAGCAGAGUUUACCUUGGGAAUGAAGAGAGAAUUAAAAUAUAAAAGAAAAUACAUGAAUAUGGUACUUUAUUGACUGAAUGUACGGUACAUUGCGGUAUGUGUUCUAUAAGUGGAGGAAGCUAAUAUAAAGAAUGGAGAGAUGAAUGUUCAGCUUCUGUAUAUUUUCACUGUGAUGGAAAAUAUGAACUUAAUACUUAAAGGACAUUUUCAGUGUCUUCUGCUAUUGUGCUUUGCUUUGUGCUAUUGUAGUACACUGAGCCCCUGUAUGUGUGUGUGUGUGUGUGUGUGUGUGUGUGUGUGUGUGUGUGUGCAGACAUAACCGCAGAGUUGAGUUUUGUGUGAAAAAAGAGAGAGCUGCAGUGUUAUGAAACAGCUCUGCAUCUCUGUGACUGAGAGGAAUUUGCCAGUCCUCCGCCCGUUUGUAGACUGAAUUAGACCAAUUAUAAAAUAUCACACAGCUGUUAUAUUUACCAGCUGUUCGCGUUCAUGUGGUCACCCGUCACUGGUAAAUAAAUCACAUGAGCUAAUCACAUGAACUACUGAAAAGCCAAAUAACGGAAGCUGAAACUUAAACUUCACUGUUUGUUCUUGUUAAAGCAGGAUCGUUGUGUUCUGAACUGUAUGUAUGUGUUGAAGUUACUGGUCUCAACUUGUCCUGCUGAUAUGAUGAAACUAUGGAUGAAUUAAAAGAGGUCAAGAGGUCAGUUGGUCCCAGUGGUCAACAGUGGAACUGCAACCAUAAAAUCCCACAGACAUGAUGCCUGCAGAACUGUUGACAGGACACUUUGAGCUGCAACUAAGAUCAAAUAUUACACUUUUUACUAUGUAUUAUUAUUU
This is a long non-coding RNA of Thunnus maccoyii (southern bluefin tuna), 1930 nucleotides long. RefSeq lists it as uncharacterized. Lineage: Eukaryota; Metazoa; Chordata; Actinopteri; Scombriformes; Scombridae. The transcript has 3 exons. The record is from RefSeq and is a predicted model, not a curated record.